This 573-nucleotide ribosomal RNA is filed under the name Rhodotorula mucilaginosa. RNAcentral describes it as "eukaryotic LSU rRNA". It matches the Rfam family "Eukaryotic large subunit ribosomal RNA", at positions 45 to 634 of the family's 3401-position model. Lineage: Eukaryota; Fungi; Basidiomycota; Microbotryomycetes; Sporidiobolales; Sporidiobolaceae. The record is from RNAcentral.
CAUAAGCGGAGGAAAAGAAACUAACAAGGAUUCCCCUAGUAGCGGCGAGCGAAGCGGGAAGAGCUCAAAUUUAUAAUCUGGCACCUUCGGUGUCCGAGUUGUAAUCUCUAGAAAUGUUUUCCGCGUUGGACCGCACACAAGUCUGUUGGAAUACAGCGGCAUAGUGGUGAGACCCCCGUAUAUGGUGCGGACGCCCAGCGCUUUGUGAUACAUUUUCGAAGAGUCGAGUUGUUUGGGAAUGCAGCUCAAAUUGGGUGGUAAAUUCCAUCUAAAGCUAAAUAUUGGCGAGAGACCGAUAGCGAACAAGUACCGUGAGGGAAAGAUGAAAAGCACUUUGGAAAGAGAGUUAACAGUACGUGAAAUUGUUGGAAGGGAAACGCUUGAAGUCAGACUUGCUUGCCGAGCAAUCGGUUUGCAGGCCAGCAUCAGUUUUCCGGGAUGGAUAAUGGUAGAGAGAAGGUAGCAGUUUCGGCUGUGUUAUAGCUCUCUGCUGGAUACAUCUUGGGGGACUGAGGAACGCAGUGUGCCUUUGGCGGGGGUUUCGACCUCUUCACACUUAGGAUGCUGGUGGAA